RNAcentral lists this long non-coding RNA (598 nucleotides) under Medicago truncatula (barrel medic). Its description in RNAcentral is "lncRNA gene29671". Lineage: Eukaryota; Viridiplantae; Streptophyta; Magnoliopsida; Fabales; Fabaceae. The record is from RNAcentral.
UAACAUGCCUAAAUUGAAGGGCAUGGUGAUACAUACAAAAUUAAGGGAGAAGGAAUAAAAAAUCUAAUCAUAGUAAUAUUUAGUGCCUUUUCUUUCAAAAUAAAAUUGUGUCUUAUUUAAUGUCUUAUUUCAUUUCAUUAUCCACGUCUAAGAGUACAAAGCAUAAUUGCAAUGUCCAUAAAAUUCCGAAAAUAAAAAGAAAUAAAAAAAAUACAAUAUAUUGGGAGAAUAUUCAAGUAUCAGUUUUUUUUGUUUUGUUGAAGGAUGACAUUGACACAGUGACAGUAUCAGUUAUAUUUCAUAUUUUUUUCGCUGGUAUAUGAACUCAAUUUUACAUCGGUCUUCAAUGCACUUAAACCUAAAUAUGUUUGAUUUAAUUUGUGGACAAUCAAUACUGAACAUGCAUUCAAUACUAAUAUCUGUAAUGAACAAAGAUAAUAAAAUAAUAUCAAUAAAAUAUAUAAAAUAUUUUGUACGAACAACAAAGCAAAAAAGGAAAUUUUAAAAGUAUAAAAAUAGCUUACCUUCAAAGUUUCCUGCAACAUGAUACAGGGAAAUAAGUAAUAUCAUAACAUACACAAGCUUAAAAGUGGCAGCC